Molecule: ribosomal RNA, 688 nt
Filed under: uncultured archaeon
Lineage: Archaea
Description: bacterial SSU rRNA
Rfam family: Archaeal small subunit ribosomal RNA
Source: RNAcentral
UUCCGGUUGAUCCCGCCGGACCCCACUGCUAUCGGGAUGGGACUAAGACAUGCUAGUCAAGCGCCUUCCAGCCAUGUGGGAGGUGCGGCGCACAGCUCAGUAACACGUGGCUAACCUGCCCUUGGGACGGGACCAACCCCGGGAAACUGGGGCUAAUCCCCGAUAGGUGAAGAACUCUGGAAUGAGUCUUUGCCCAAAAGGCGUCAGAUCAUGCUUCUGGCGUCGCCCAAGGAUGGGGCCGCGACCGAUCAGGUUGUUGGUGAGGUAAUGGCCCACCAAGCCUAUUACCGGUGCGGGCCGUGAGAGCGGGAGCCCGGAGAUGGGCACUGAGACAAGGGCCCAGGUCCUACGGGGCGCAGCAGUCGCGAAACCUUUGCAAUACACGAAAGUGUGACAGGGUCAUCCCGAGUGCCGACCGCUGAGGUUGGCUUUUACCCAGUCUAGAACGCUGGGGGAAUAAGGAGAGGGCAAGUCUGGUGUCAGCCGCCGCGGUAAUACCAGCUCUCCGAGUGGUGUGGACGUUUAUUGGGCCUAAAGCAUCCGUAGCUGGCUGAACAAGUCCCCUGUUAAACCCACCGAUUUAAUCGUUGGUCUGCGGGGGAUACUGCUCGGCUAGGGGACGAGAGAGGCAGGCGGUAUUCCCGGGGUAGGGGUGAAAUCCUAUAAUCCCGAGAAGACCACCAGUGGC